GAUGAACGCUGGCGGCGUGCCUAACACAUGCAAGUCGAGCGGAAAGACGAUGAGCUUUUUCUUUUACCGUUAGCGGCUGGCGGGCGAGUAACGCGUGGAUCACCCACUUCUAUUUCUUGGAUAAUUACGUGAAACCGGUUCCAAUACUAGCUCAUAUAUUGUACCGCUUGGUUCAAUGGAUAUUCUCGGCUUUGGCGUCUCUAUUAGCUGGUUUCGCGCCGGAUUAGUUAGUUGGUAAGGUAACGGCCUACCAAGGCUACGAUGCGUAGCCGAACUGAGGGGGUGAUCGGCCACACUGGAACUGAGACACGGUCCAGACUCCUACGGGAGGCAGCAGUAGGGAAUAUUGGGCAAUGGGCGAAAGCCUGACGCAGCAACACCGCGUGAGUGAAGAAGGUCUUCGGAUCGUAAAGCCCUGUUGUUGGGAAAGAACAGCUGUAGGAGAAGACAUGGAUGUCUUGACGGUACCUAAUGAAAAAGCAACGGCUAACUACGUG
Molecule: ribosomal RNA, 497 nt
Filed under: uncultured bacterium
Lineage: Bacteria
Description: partial 16S ribosomal RNA
Rfam family: Bacterial small subunit ribosomal RNA
Source: RNAcentral